GACGAACGCUGGCGGCGUGCUUAACACAUGCAAGUCGAACGGAAAGGCCCUGCUUUUGUGGGGUGCUCGAGUGGCGAACGGGUGAGUAACACGUGAGUAACCUGCCCUUGACUUUGGGAUAACUUCAGGAAACUGGGGCUAAUACCGGAUAGGAGCUCCUGCUGCAUGGUGGGGGUUGGAAAGUUUCGGCGGUUGGGGAUGGACUCGCGGCUUAUCAGCUUGUUGGUGGGGUAGUGGCUUACCAAGGCUUUGACGGGUAGCCGGCCUGAGAGGGUGACCGGCCACAUGGGGACUGAGAUGCGGCCCAGCCUCCUCCGGGGGGGAGCAGGGGGGAAUUUUGCACAAGGGGCGGAGGCCGGAUGCCGCACCGCCGCGUGGGGGAUGCCGGCUUUCGGUUUUAAACCCCCUUCCGCCGGUGACGAAGCGUGAGUGAGGGUAAUGUGUAAAGAGCCCCCGCCUACCUACGUG
This 468-nucleotide ribosomal RNA is filed under the name uncultured bacterium. Its description in RNAcentral is "partial 16S ribosomal RNA". It matches the Rfam family "Bacterial small subunit ribosomal RNA", at positions 28 to 507 of the family's 1533-position model. The record is from RNAcentral.